This 464-nucleotide ribosomal RNA is filed under the name Vreelandella stevensii. RNAcentral's name for it is "partial 16S ribosomal RNA". It matches the Rfam family "Bacterial small subunit ribosomal RNA", at positions 338 to 795 of the family's 1533-position model. Lineage: Bacteria; Pseudomonadati; Pseudomonadota; Gammaproteobacteria; Oceanospirillales; Halomonadaceae. The record is from RNAcentral.
CCUACGGGUGGCUGCAGUGGGGAAUAUUGGACAAUGGGGGGAACCCUGAUCCAGCCAUGCCGCGUGUGUGAAGAAGGCCCUCGGGUUGUAAAGCACUUUCAGUGAGGAAGAACGCCUGGUGGUUAAUACCCAUCAGGAAAGACAUCACUCACAGAAGAAGCACCGGCUAACUCCGUGCCAGCAGCCGCGGUAAUACGGAGGGUGCGAGCGUUAAUCGGAAUUACUGGGCGUAAAGCGCGCGUAGGUGGCUUGAUAAGCCGGUUGUGAAAGCCCCGGGCUCAACCUGGGAACGGCAUCCGGAACUGUCAAGCUAGAGUGCAGGAGAGGAAGGUAGAAUUCCCGGUGUAGGGGUGAAAUGCGUAGAGAUCGGGAGGAAUACCAGUGGCGAAGGCGGCCUUCUGGACUGAAACUGACACUGAGGUGCGAAAGCGUGGGUAGCAAACAGGAUUAGAUCCCUAGUAGUC